CUGGCUCAGGCCCAGUGCCCAGGGAGUCCUGAAGAGAUGAGGGGUCCAUUUGUCCCUGAUGCUUUUCUCUCCACAUCUCAGAAAUGUUAGGACUACAAAAUCUGGCGUGGUUGAAGACACCUCAGAGUAAGCGAGGGAGAUGGAGGCCUCUCGCUUGAAGGAGAUUUGGGGAGGCGCAGACCCUGGUGGCACCAGCAAAUGGAAGCCAACUAAGGCAAAUCGUACUAGUCUAUGCAGGCUGUGAACUCAGGGAAUUAACUGGAGGACAAUGAAGGGCAAACCCAAUGGAAUCAAAGGGACGUCAAAAUCCAAAAUCCAAGGACUCUCUCAAAGGACGUUCAGUCUGGAGUAUCCAGAAGCUUCGAUCAAAGGCCAAAGCGAGGCACGUAACCUUUCUCACUGCCAGUUUAAAGAAACGAGCAGAAGGCUACAGCAUUGCUCAAGAACCCAGCUUUUCUUUGGGGGCCAAAAACACAAUCCGUGCCAGGAAUUGCCUGGGAUGUGCUGGAGACACAGGGAUCCUCCUUCUGCUCUGUAAGAUUAGCACAAGGUUAGCUAGAGAGAUAGAAAGGAGGUUGGUAAAGAGUAAAAACAAAAAAAAAAGUGAAAAACCUGAGCUUUGACCACUUGCACAUGAACAGCCAGAAUGCUGUCUGCAAUUGGUGUUAAAUGAUUGAACAGAAGGAAGCAAUUGUUCCUGCACCAACGAGUGCGUGAUCCUGAGCAAAGGAUCAAAGACAAUGCAGGACUGGUGUGAUGGGAAAGGAAAAAAAUCCACCCGAGAGAGAGAGAGAUUUCCCUGAGACUCUCCAAUGGCUUUCACAGUUUGUCAGUGAGGAAGGCUGGAGACCUUGCUGAAUAAAUAUUCUGUAUGUAUU
Molecule: long non-coding RNA, 878 nt
Filed under: Equus caballus (horse)
Lineage: Eukaryota; Metazoa; Chordata; Mammalia; Perissodactyla; Equidae
Description: lncRNA (ENSECAG00000045165.1)
Source: RNAcentral